Molecule: ribosomal RNA, 776 nt
Filed under: Cryptaphelenchus sp. YF-2021
Lineage: Eukaryota; Metazoa; Nematoda; Chromadorea; Rhabditida; Aphelenchoididae
Description: partial large subunit ribosomal RNA
Source: RNAcentral
ACAAGUACCGUGAGGGAAAGUUGAAAAGCACUUUGAAAAGAGAGUGCAAGAGAACGUGAAAUCGAUGCAAUGGAAGCGGAUGAAUUCGCCGUAUCUAGUGCGUAUUCAGUUGUUGGUGUUCAGGAUCGCGACUUGGCCAUUCCGCAAGGUUGUCCGGGUUGUGUUGUCUUGGGCAUUAAUGAUGCAUUUGCGUACAGAGUGCAAUGAGUCGUUCAGGUUCGCGGAACAAAGUGUUGUUAAGAGGACUCUCCCCGGAGAGAACCCUUGAUGAUGCGGAGGGCUGUUGGACUUGUUCGUUUUGAAUUCAUGGCCUACGACUUUGCUGKGAGUGUUUCAUCGGGCUUGGGUUUAACGCAUGCGUUCAGCUCUUGACUGGUGGAAUGUUGUCAGUACAAGUCACUUGAAUUUUCUCGUUGUAUUGGCGAUCACUCAUCCGACCCGUCUUGAAACACGGACCAAGGAGUUUAUAUUACACGCAAUCUAUUGAGUGUUAAAACUCAAAAGAGCAAUUAAAGUGAAUAACUGUUUACAGCAACGUGAUUGCCGACUCAUUCGUGGGUUGGUACGCAACGUUGCCCCAUUCCAAGAACUUGUUCUGGGGUGGAGGUUGAGCGUGUGAAAUGAGACCCGAAAGAUGGUGAACUAUGCCUGAACAGGAUGAAGCCAGAGGAAACUCUGGUGGAAGUCCGAAGCGGUUCUGACGUGCAAAUCGAUCGUCUGAUUUUGGUAUAGGGGCGAAAGACUAAUCGAACCAUCUAGUAGCUGGUUCCUUCCGA